UGCUGCUGAUUGUAGCCGGAUAAGAUUUUAAUUGAAUGCUAAGAGAAUGGAAGUCCAGAAAAAAACUUUUUUUAAAUUAAAAAUUGAAGUUUUUUUAAUUUGUGCAGAAACAAUUAUUUAUAUUAAAGACAAGAAGACCCUAUGAAUUUAUUAAAUUUUUAUUUAAUAUGUAAUUACUAUUAGAAAAAUUUUGGCUGGGGCGGCUAGAAAAUAUUAUAAACUUUUUAAAAAUAAAAUGAUCCAUUAUUAAUGAUUUUAUGUUAAAUACUCUAGGGAUAACAGCGUUAUAUUUUUUGAUAGAUCAUAUUGACAAAAAAGUUUGCGACCUCGAUGUUGGAUUAGGAUACUUUUUUAAUGAAGAUAUUAAAAAAAGAAGUUUGUUCAACUUUUAAUUUCCUACUUGAUCUGAGUGUCAGACCGGAG
Molecule: ribosomal RNA, 423 nt
Filed under: Rhipicephalus sanguineus (brown dog tick)
Lineage: Eukaryota; Metazoa; Arthropoda; Arachnida; Ixodida; Ixodidae
Description: partial large subunit ribosomal RNA
Rfam family: Archaeal large subunit ribosomal RNA (bases 275-423)
Source: RNAcentral